Molecule: ribosomal RNA, 301 nt
Filed under: uncultured bacterium
Lineage: Bacteria
Description: partial 16S ribosomal RNA
Rfam family: Bacterial small subunit ribosomal RNA
Source: RNAcentral
CAGUCGCCGCGGGAAUACAGAGGGUGCUAGCGUUAAUCGGAUUUACUGGGCGUAAAGCGUGCGUAGGCGGCUAAUUGAGUCGGAUGUGAAAUCCCCGAGCUUAACUUGGGAAUUGCAUUCGAUACUGGUUAGCUAGAGUGUGGGAGAGGAUGGUAGAAUUCCAGGUGUAGCGGUGAAAUGCGUAGAGAUCUGGAGGAAUACCGAUGGCGAAGGCAGCCAUCUGGCCUAACACUGACGCUGAGGUACGAAAGCAUGGGGAGCAAACAGGAUUAGAUACCCCGGUAGUCCCUGUCUCUUAUAC